GCAGCUCAGUGGUAGAGCAUCUGCUUUGCAUGCAGAAGAUCCCAGGUUCGAUCCCUGGCAUCUCCA
Molecule: transfer RNA, 66 nt
Filed under: Podarcis lilfordi (Lilford's wall lizard)
Lineage: Eukaryota; Metazoa; Chordata; Lepidosauria; Squamata; Lacertidae
Description: tRNA.Ala
Rfam family: tRNA
About the family: Transfer RNA (tRNA) molecules are approximately 80 nucleotides in length. Their secondary structure includes four short double-helical elements and three loops (D, anti-codon, and T loops).
Source: RNAcentral